UUUUUUUUUUUUUUUUUUUUUUUUUAUUGCCCUUGUAGGCAGACGAGCAUACGGCCCACCUGAUGGUGAGUGGUUACCGUUGCCCAUGGACUUCAGCAAUGCCAGGGGCAGAGCCAAGCCGCUGCCUACCAAUUCGUACUGCCGAUCUCCAUGAGUGACCGCAAUCAAAUGGGCAUGCAGUCCGUAUGCCUUCGACGAUUUUUAAAGAGCAGAAAUUCCAAAUGAGUUGGUACACAUUUCUUUAGUUCAACAGUAAUAAUUAAAUAAAUAACGGACCCAAGUAUCCAUCGUACAAGAUAUUUUUUUCUUCUUCAAUUAACUAAAAACAUCGGUCUUGCGGACGAUAUAAACGAUAUUUUUCUGAAAAUUAUAUUAGUGUACGAAUUCAUUCAUCGUCAUAUUAAUAUGUCGUUGGAAUCAAAUUGAUAAUGUAUCCUGAUAGUAAAACGACAUAUUUACGACAAUGAAAAAUUAAUCGCCUAUUGUUCCAUUUGUACAUUGUUCCGUCAUUAGUGUUAGCGUGAGGUUACAGGUUAGUUUAAUUCAAGUAAUAAACUAUGGGACGUGUUUACGUCGUACGAACAAAGUCCAACAGAACGUAAAUAAGAAGUCGGCUGUUUCCGUCGGUCUUCGUGAGAGUUCGGAUCAAAACAACGCGGCGUUGCUGCGCGCGCGCUCUGAACGGCGGCGACAGUGACUGUUUGUUUCGCCGUUUCGCUCGAUACAUACAAAACCAUCACAGCUCAAAACUGUUUCAUAUCUGACUGCAUUAUCGACCGGCGUGCGCGUUUUAAGUACGGGAGAGUAAUUUACUAAAUAUACAAAAUGGAUACGAAUAAAAAUAUACCGAAAAAUAGCACGCAAGCCGCUGGCUACAACCCUUGGAACUUGCUUUUUAGCACGAGACGUCGUACGGAAAGUGAAAACAGUGUCAGCUCAAACACAUCGUCGACUUCUUCAGGUUUGACGUAUGUGGGACUAUCGAAACAACCAAAUAAAAACGAGGAAUACUUGUGGAUGAUGUGGCGUUCGUAAUUGCACGCUGAUCGAGGCAUUGGUCAAUGGCGAAGCAGCGGCAACAAACAAAAUACAGACUAUUAUAGUUAUUACUAGCAUUACGUAUUGCAGUAUGUGUUUGGCAACUUCAGUACACAGCAUUCUAUGAACAAUGUUCGAACAGAUAGCGUUUCUGCCCACGUGGUUCCUGAUGGCGUGGCUGGGGGUCUGCGUCCUCUUCAGUCCGUUCGCUGUAUUCUUCGUGGUGUGUCUACCGCAACUACCGCUCCUAGUCGUUAGGAGAGCAUGUCAUAUACCAUUCGAAUAUAUUUAAUAUUAACGGGUUAAUUUUUAUAUUAAAAUGAUCUAGUUUUUAAGAGAUUUUGUAAAAAAAACUGUAAAUAAAUUUAAUGAAUAAAUGUUUUUUUUUAUGA
Bombyx mori (domestic silkworm) is the source of this 1430-nucleotide long non-coding RNA. RefSeq lists it as uncharacterized. The record is from RefSeq and is a predicted model, not a curated record. Lineage: Eukaryota; Metazoa; Arthropoda; Insecta; Lepidoptera; Bombycidae. The transcript has 3 exons.